This 214-nucleotide long non-coding RNA is filed under the name Elaeis guineensis (African oil palm). RNAcentral's name for it is "long non-coding RNA (EGUI_LNC054683)". Lineage: Eukaryota; Viridiplantae; Streptophyta; Magnoliopsida; Arecales; Arecaceae. The record is from RNAcentral.
CAUCAAGUCAGAUUAAAAAAGAUCAGGCAUAAGCUGAUCCAGUCAAUCAGUCAUGAAUCUUCCCACUAACUUCACCAAGUCAUAAAGAGGACUCAAGACAAGUUGAACUAGGGGCACCUAAAUCAAUCAUACUAAUUUUUUAGUUAGCAUGGGUUAACCCCAAUCAUUAAGUGAUCUAAUCAACAUAUGAUUUACCAUAUUAGUCAGGUAAGUG